Molecule: non-coding RNA, 701 nt
Organism: Hydra vulgaris (swiftwater hydra)
Lineage: Eukaryota; Metazoa; Cnidaria; Hydrozoa; Anthoathecata; Hydridae
Source: RefSeq, a predicted model, not a curated record
UGAAAUAAAUAUACAAUUGCAGCUGCUUAGCUAAAAAAUGUUAAUCGGAAGAAGCAAAAGUGGAUGGCGUGGUGCCUGUAAGAUAGUAUCAAUAUGAUCUAGUCUUAAUUAAGUUAGUCGCAGACAAAAAAUAAAACCUGUAAACAAUUUCUCUUUAUAUUUACUUGUUCAAGUGCCAGUGAAACGAACAAUAGAAAAGAAGAAGCAUUCAAAAUGUUCGCAAACUUUUUGUUUGGUGUGUUUUUUGGUUUGGAUACAAAAAAUCAAGUGAAAAUGAUACUGGAAAGUCAAUAACGGAUUUUUAAAUUGUUAUGAGUCUACAACACUUUAUUUCAGCGAAAUUCAAUUAAAAAUUAUGUUAUAGAAGAAAGAAAAAUAUCAUUAUCUGUUUUCAAUAACUUGGCUUUCAUAACCAAUCUGAGAGACUGUUAACCGUUUGACUCCUGUCCCAACCUAACCUAGUAGAUUCAAAACGAAGGAACCGCGCUGGAAACAUGAGUGGAUUAAAAGGAUCAGUCCUUUUUGAAUUAAUAUUCGAAGUGGUAACCAGCUAGAAGUCGUAACCUGCUCGUAGAAAAGAUUUCUCGACGUGAAAUUGUUAAUUUUAUUCAACAAUGCCAAGAAACAGAGCUCGCUCAAGAAACAGAAAAGAAAGAGAAAGAUGAAAAAAUAUUCUGUUGAACAAUACUAUUGUUUUAUUU